Molecule: non-coding RNA, 183 nt
Filed under: Clostridium sp.
Lineage: Bacteria; Bacillati; Bacillota; Clostridia; Eubacteriales; Clostridiaceae
Also listed under: 1 other name
Description: Lysine sequence
Rfam family: Lysine riboswitch aptamer
About the family: Riboswitches are metabolite binding domains within certain messenger RNAs that serve as precision sensors for their corresponding targets. Allosteric rearrangement of mRNA structure is mediated by ligand binding, and this results in modulation of gene expression. This family includes riboswitches that sense lysine in a number of genes involved in lysine metabolism, including lysC.
Source: RNAcentral
AGAUGAGGUAGAGGCGCGGUAUUUAACAGUCUUUAGAGGAGCAUGAGAAAGCUAUGAUGCUAAGGAGAAGGAAAUAUCGCCGAAGUGUGUAAUAUUCUCAGUAUUACAUGCUGGGCCUGCAGUUAAGAGCUGUAGGACUGUCUUAAUAAACAUCCCGGUUUAUUAAGUUGUGCUAUCUCAUUU